GUAUAUCAACUUGUCUUUAGUACAAGAUUUUUUUUUUUUAUUUUUAGCAUCCAUGGUUCCAUUCACCAAAUAUUUAUUUUCUUCCAUAUACAAAUAAUUCAUUCUAUUAAGCUUAUUUUCAGUUCAGCAUUCCAGAAAUUAAAUCUUGUGUUUUUUUUUACUUAUUCUACAAAGGAAGUUCAGCAGGUAUCCCAAUUUUACUAAAUGCUGAAAACUUUGUAAAAUGUUUCUUUGUGCACUAAAUAAUUUCUGGCCCAUACCCAGCAACUGUGAUGAAUGUAAUAAUGAAGUAACAUUUUGAAAGCAGACCUGAUACAUUAAGUAUUUAUUGAGCUUCUAUCAUAGGCUCAGUGUUGUGCUUUCUUUAUACUGUUUUUCUGUGACAGUCAUGCUGUUUUCUUUAUAUAAUUAAAAGUGGAGAUGUGGUGUUUAUAUAUAGUCCAGUUCCUUCGCAAUUGUACAGGAGGUUAUAGUAAGAAGAAACAGUAAAUUCGUAGAAGGGGGGCUAAGCUGCUAUUUUCUUCCUGAAGUUGUGACACAAGCUGACAAAAGCCAGGGAAUUCACAGCUGGGUGGUGGCACAAAGUACCAUAUGUUCUAAAAACAAUUAGGCCCAGCAGGGUGUCCCUAAUGGCUUCCUUGUUAAGCCUCUGGGGCCAGCUGAUCUGAAGCCUUGUGACAUGUCUCUCUGAGCUCUGAAUGCUUGGGCUUUUUUGUCACUUUGUCCUGAUACAAGUGUUUUCCUGUGGUCUUCAUUCUCUUGAGUUCAUUCAGUCUCCUGAAAUAUCUUCUGAUUCUUUCUGGAGAGAACAAUGUCUGUUCACAAAUCUGUACUCAUUCGCCUUGAAUUUUAGCAUCCAUGGACCUUUUUACGACUGUCCUUGCCUCUUUAUCACACUUUGUUUCUAAAAAAUGCUUUGCUGCCUGUUAAGAUGGGUUUAUUAUCUCGUUUCAGGCCUCUAAGGACAGAGAGUGAAGGGACAUUUCUAUUUACUUUGCUGCCACAGUUGUUUUUUUUUUUUUAAUCAGGAUGAAUUUCAACCACUGCAGAUGGUAUAUUUAAAUAAAUAGGAAUAAAAGAGAAAUGUUGAUACAUGUACAAAAAGGUAAAUACAAAUAUGCCUACUCUGUUCUGGGGAUGGAAGUGUCCUUUGUAGUUAUCCAAAGUAUUUUCUUAAGAAGUAUAUAUCAAAAGAGCCUUUCUUCUUUGCUGCUUUAAGUCUCCCUGUUUUGCUGAAUAGUUACUCGUUUAUUGACCUCUGCCACAGGGUGGGGAGUGUGGGCAGAUAAUUUAUAGGGCCAGCCAGAUGUUUUUGAGAUAGAUGGGAAUAUAGUCCAUAUUUUUUAAUUGGGUCAUUUUAACUAUGUAAUUACUCUGUUAAUGGCCACUGUUAGUAAAUCUUAAUACUUAAUUCAGAAGAACAGCUGAGCAUUUGAGACAUUCUUCAGUUGCUUUUUAAAUGAGAGUAGCUUUUCUAGUCUAUUAAAAUGUCCUUUUUUAGUCAAAGGUUAAUGGCUCAUUUUUCCUUCAGUCUAGGGGGUAUAUAUUUCAUUUCCCUUCUCUCCCGAUCCUUUUAAUACAAUAUUUAGCAGAAUUUAUUUGAUACCUUUCUCACAAAUGUCUUUUAUUCAUUAGUUGUCUCUUUCUUAUUUCCCAUAACCAGCACUAUCUUGGCCUUGUGAUCUAUUUAGAAUCAUUCUUUAUUGUCUUCUUCAAUUUUUGUACCCCGUUUACUUGGAGAAACUUGGCCUGCAGUGAACCUUAAUUUUUCCCACGUUAAUUUCUGACCCUAUAGGAAGAAAAUGGUGGUGUGUUACUGCCAUCUAAUGGAGAGAAGGAAAACUGCAGUGGGAAAACAAAGCGCAUUUAGGGCAGGGUUUUCUGAAGGAUUUCUGAUAGAGUCCUUAGCAGGAAAAUGAUGACACAGCAGUUGCCAUCUUGAAAUCUGCCCUUUCCACAGGAAAGGUGAUUUGCAACCUAAUACAGCCAUCGUCAGGAGGCCCCUGGACUAUGGUUGGAUCAUGACGUUUAGAGUCUGAAAUGGUUUCUCAAAAGAUCAUGGAGACAAGCAUCUCAUUUUUGUCACAUUCUUAACCGUUCAGUUACUUUGUCUGGGGCCUUAACAUUUUAAGUAUCAACUAAUACAUAAUGUUAAGUUUUGAAAAUAUUUGAAGAUUGUAUGUAAUACAGGUGCCUAUCUAUAGUACUUUAGUAAUUUAUAGUAUAUCAGAAGGAUUUUAUUAAAAUUUCUGGAUGUAUUGCAGUAGCCAACAUAAGCUGCAUGCCCUCCUGAAGAUGGUUUACUCUGAAAUGUAACUUUAAAUAAACAUUAUUCUAAGAAA
Bos taurus (domestic cattle) is the source of this 2342-nucleotide long non-coding RNA. The record is from Ensembl. NCBI's taxonomy places the organism in Eukaryota, Metazoa, Chordata, Mammalia, Artiodactyla, Bovidae.